AAGUGAGAAUGCCGGUGUGAGUAGCGAAAGACGGGUGAGAAUCCCGUCCACCGAUUGACUAAGGUUUCCAGAGGAAGGCUCGUCCGCUCUGGGUUAGUCGGGUCCUAAGCUGAGGCCGACAGGCGUAGGCGAUGGAUAACAGGUUGAUAUUCCUGUACCACCUAUAAUCGUUUUAAUCGAUGGGGGGACGCAGUAGGAUAGGCGAAGCGUGCGAUUGGAUUGCACGUCUAAGCAGUAAGGCUGAGUAUUAGGCAAAUCCGGUACUCGUUAAGGCUGAGCUGUGAUGGGGAGAAGACAUUGUGUCUUCGAGUCGUUGAUUUCACACUGCCGAGAAAAGCCUCUAGAUAGAAAAUAGGUGCCCGUACCGCAAACCGACACAGGUAGUCAAGAUGAGAAUUCUAAGGUGAGCGAGCGAACUCUCGUUAAGGAACUCGGCAAAAUGACCCCGUAACUUCGGGAGAAGGGGUGCUCUUUAGGGUUAACGCCCAGAAGAGCCGCAGUGAAUAGGCCCAAGCGACUGUUUAUCAAAAACACAGGUCUCUGCUAAACCGUAAGGUGAUGUAUAGGGGCUGACGCCUGCCCGGUGCUGGAAGGUUAAGAGGAGUGGUUAGCUUCUGCGAAGCUACGAAUCGAAGCCCCAGUAAACGGCGGCCGUAACUAUAACGGUCCUAAGGUAGCGAAAUUCCUUGUCGGGUAAGUUCCGACCCGCACGAAAGGCGUAACGAUUUGGGCACUGUCUCAACGAGAGACUCGGUGAAAUCAUAGUACCUGUGAAGAUGCAGGUUACCCGCGACAGGACGGAAAGACCCCGUGGAGCUUUACUGUAGCCUGAUAUUGAAAUUCGGCACAGCUUGUACAGGAUAGGUAGGAGCCUUUGAAACGUGAGCGCUAGCUUACGUGGAGGCGCUGGUGGGAUACUACCCUAGCUGUGUUGGCUUUCUAACCCGCACCACUUAUCGUGGUGGGAGACAGUGUCAGGCGGGCAGUUUGACUGGGGCGGUCGCCUCCUAAAAGGUAACGGAGGCGCUCAAAGGUUCCCUCAGAAUGGUUGGAAAUCAUUCAUAGAGUGUAAAGGCAUAAGGGAGCUUGACUGCGAGACCUACAAGUCGAGCAGGGUCGAAAGACGGACUUAGUGAUCCGGUGG
RNAcentral lists this ribosomal RNA (1144 nucleotides) under Staphylococcus aureus. RNAcentral describes it as "partial 23S ribosomal RNA". It matches the Rfam family "Bacterial large subunit ribosomal RNA", at positions 1286 to 2426 of the family's 2925-position model. The record is from RNAcentral. Lineage: Bacteria; Bacillati; Bacillota; Bacilli; Caryophanales; Staphylococcaceae.